GCAUUGUCUAAGUAUGAUAUUGCUUUACCAGCUGUGUCCAGUAUAUCCAAAUCUGUUGAAUUACGAAAAAAAAUAUGAUGAUGGUAUUAAAGAAUGCACAAAAGCAUUGGAGCUAAACCUUAACUACAUAAGUGUUUUGCUAAGAAGAGCAGAGGUGUAUGAAAAGUUGUAACAAUUUGAAGAGACUAUAGCAGAUAUGACAAAGGUUUUGGAAGUUGACCCAUCAUAUGAUCAAGCUAGAAGACAGAUUGUUCGCUUGAAGCCAUUAGCAGAUGAAAAACGUCAAAAGAUGAAG
This is a non-coding RNA of Coffea arabica (coffee), 295 nucleotides long. Lineage: Eukaryota; Viridiplantae; Streptophyta; Magnoliopsida; Gentianales; Rubiaceae. The record is from RefSeq and is a predicted model, not a curated record.